CAGAGCCAGUUAUCUGAAAUUUCUUAAUGCAUUUUAAGUUUAUUUUAUACUCUAUGAAAAAACAAAGAAAAACAAAACAAAUGGUUUUAUGGAGAAGAAGUCAAUUAUAUUGAUUUUCAUCUGUUAAUGCAAAAGUAGAUUUUAUGAAUGAUUGUACUUAGGAAACUUAUGUUUAUUGGUCACAGUUUAAUUUACUCCUUGUUUUUGUUCUCUUUCAUGAAUCAGGAAGACUUAAAGAGUAAAAUAUCAGAGUGUCAGCUGAAAGUGGUUAAUAUGCUGCUUCUUUGAGGAUUGAUAUGAAACUGAGGUGCAGGUUCACCAAAGUUUACAAUGCUUGGAAUAAAGUGGAUCAGGUUUUAUGUGAUGAUGGAACAUCUUAUAAUUGAUGAGAAAACUUCAUAUUGCCACUCAAAUUAGGGGUGAAGCAGGGCAGGAUGCUGUCCUGUAUAGAAAGGAGAGGGCUGUGUGGCUUGGCUGCAGUUCUUCUCUCGGGUGCCAGGUUUGUAAUUCCACCACAUAAUAUUCUGGCAGGCCUGCUUGAUUCUGAAGGAAACUUUACAGCAUACAGAAGAAUACAUCCUGGUAUCACAAGAAGCUCUAUUCUAGCAGUGGAUGAAAGAACAUCUUCCAAUGAGUAUGAGUUCUUGCAGAUCUUAUGUGGAAGUCCGUGACUUCUAACCUUCUGAGCACGCACACAAAAGUGGCUACCAGUUAAAAUCGAGGCUGAGGAGUGCUCUAGCUCACCAAUAAUGGCACUAAAAGGCUUUGAUUGAUAUGAUGUGGACGUUGUUACGCUAUUCUGACAUUGCUAUCAUUGCUGUACAUACACUGUAAACAAUCCUGAUACUAAAUGAGGUCCUCAUUGGAUGGUAUCUUGUUCCACAGAUGGCCCUCAGAGGAACCCUGUAUUUAUAAUAUCUUUGCUAAUGCACUAGCAGAAAUUAGGUUUAAAAUACAGUCUUUAUAACAGGCAAAGUAAGACGUCAGAGAAUAGUUAUUUUAAAUCCCUCAGAACAGAUUCUGAUUUCAGUUACACAGAUAUGAACAUGCCUGUGGGUACCUUAGAUUCUCAUGCAUUUGAAGAAGAACAGAAUUUGGCUUCAUGCACAUCGAUUCUCACUCACUAAAAUUAAUCAGUUUUAGCGUUUGCAAUCUAUAUUAGUAAAAGCUUUAGUCUAACAUUUCCGUAGGCAUCAGUGAUUCCCAAUGAUUAUAACCUUCCAAACACUUUUGACCAGAAAGGAGGUUUGCUGGUUCUCCUUUUAUUUUGGCCUGGCUAUACAACUCUUAGUACUUCAUAUACCUAUUAAAACUCUUGUAUCAGAUUUCCAUUGUGGAGAGGUCCAUUUGGUGGGAAAUAAGAACUGUCAACUCUUUAAUAACCACUGCUGAGAAAAUAGUUAAGAAUUUUUUUUGUUCUUGCAUCUAUCUCAUAUCUAUUUUAUGAAAGGAGUCUAAUGUGGUACAGUUAGCUGAUGUGGUACUCAACAUAGAGUUAUUUUCUUUGUAUUUUAGGUGUGUCUUUGCUAUUAUUGUCUUCCUUUUACACAGUUGCAAAUUUUAAAUAUACAAGAAUUCUUAGAGGAGAGGGAAGACUGGGAUUGUUUCCUAAACCAAGGCAGAAGAAAUUCAAGUAGGGCAAAAUACAGGUGUCAACAUCAAGCAUAUAGGAAGUCUUCUUAUUUGAGUCUUCAGUUUUCCGACUGUGAUCAUAGGAAUUACUAGUCUAUAUGGCCUAGCAAUUUGCCUCACUUUACCUAGCAUAAUGUUUUUCUGAAGAUGGCCUUUUAAAUAACAUAUUUAUAGCCAUAUAAGUAUGUUAGGUACAGAUAUGGCUAAUGUUCUUUUAUUAAUGUGGUAGCAACAAUAUGAAAUGUAUAUCUGUUUUACUGAAAAUAAGAUUGAAAAACCUUUCCAAUGCAUGAAUGAAAAGCAUAUACAGGACAGGCUGUCUGUAUUAACAGUGGCCUGGGAAGCUAUUUUAUCCCUUUUUACUCUAAUGUACCAGCUGUUUCAUCGGUGCAGUAUGGGGAGAAGAUAACUGUACUAUAUUACUACAGUAUUAUGUAAUACAAUAUAGGGUUAAGUCACUAAAUUCCACUUCAUCAGCAGUAGAUAACUUUCCCUUUUGUAAGGCGACAGUGGCAUUCCCAUACUUUACCAGAAAGUUAGCAUGUUUUUUGCUUGUCUUUUAGCAAAAAAUAUUUUGGUAAACAAAUUUAUAAAUGAAUUAUACUGUAAAAGGUACUGAAGUCUAUAUAGUUGAUAUACUCAGUGACUCAGAAUAAAUAAAAGCAUAUAAAACCA
RNAcentral lists this long non-coding RNA (2307 nucleotides) under Struthio camelus australis. RNAcentral's name for it is "lncRNA (ENSSCUG00000000394.1)". The record is from RNAcentral. Lineage: Eukaryota; Metazoa; Chordata; Aves; Struthioniformes; Struthionidae.